Dromaius novaehollandiae (emu) is the source of this 1282-nucleotide long non-coding RNA. RefSeq lists it as uncharacterized. NCBI's taxonomy places the organism in Eukaryota, Metazoa, Chordata, Aves, Casuariiformes, Dromaiidae. The transcript has 3 exons. The record is from RefSeq and is a predicted model, not a curated record.
CAGCAUAGUUAGGUUUUCUCAAGGAUCCAGUAGCUUAGUGCAUGCCUUGGGCAGGCCAGAUCCCUGCCUGUAACUUGAAGUUGGACUUCCCCAGUCAGUCAGUAAAAGGAAGAGCAGUCUCAUGCCUUCUCUUCCACAAAGGGCUGUCUCCUUGAGUCAGCCACUGUGAACUAAGACUUUCAGCACUUCCUGUGCUGUAUGAGAGUAAUUAAACACUUAUGCUGGAAGCUACAUUGUAUUCCUGCAUAGCUGAAUUAGCAAAGGAGACAAUGCACGCUGUUUGGACUAGGAGCUAAUCCUGACCUUGCGGGGCUGAGCACAUGCCGCUGGUUCCUGCAGCGUGACCCGAGGGAGCGAUGGGGAGAUGGGCCUGGGUGGUAACACUGUCACCCCAUGACUGUCCGUGUGAUUUGCUGCAGCAGCUGGAGGCCAGUCUCAAGGAGAAAGAAGAGAAAUUUGAAGCUGUCACGACCAGUCUGCAGGAUGCCCAGAAUGAGCUUCAAAGAGAGAAAACAAAAAAUCUACUGCUGGAGAGAAGUAUCAAACAGAGAAUUGCAUCAGUUGAAGAAAAACACCAGAUAACUGCAGCUUCUCUGCAUGAUGAAAACGUUAGCCUGAGACACAAACUAGUAGAAAAGACUGAAGAAGUAUUCAGCAAAAGAUUCCAGGGAAGGAUUUAGGCUCUUAAAAUAAUUCUAGUGAAGAUCUAAUCUGUUCAAUGAAGUCAUCACCUACAUCGGCAUCAUUGCUAAUGCUGAAAUCUAUAAUGCGAUUGUAACAGAAUGAACAUCUCAUUAAAAAAAAGAAUAGCAGUAAAAAAUUGGAGCCUAACAAAGCUUUACUUUCUACUCAGAGCCUGUAUCAUUCCCAAUUCUGUAGUGCAUACUGAUCACAGGAGGUACUACAAAAAUGUUUUUGAGGAGUUGGUCACUUAUCUAGCAAAUUCUUCUUUUGUUAUGCCUAUAACUGAGAUCUGAAGGCCAGCAAGGUAAGUGAAAACAGGGCAACAGGCCAUCUUCAGACAUGAGGCUGCACCUGAACAGUGGAUUUGAAUGUUAGGACUGCUAUAGGAGGAGGAUACUCUGAAAUACAGAGCACCUCCACAUCCUGUUGAGGAUAUUGGAGGAUGAGCACUUGACUUUGCCUUGAGAUGUACUGAGACUCUAAAACUGAAUGAGUUAAAGGGGAAAAACUAACAAAAAAAACACUGAUGUGAGCUGGUGCAUCCUGUGCUGUGCCUCUGAUAUUACUCUAGCAUCUCUGUUGCUAAGAUAAUCAGUUC